ACACGACGGGUGCCUUGGUGGGGAUGGCGGACGCCACCUUUGUUGGAACGACCCCACUAAGGGAAGUUGGAGGAUAUUUUUGUCUUUGGCUAGCUUUUUAGAACUUUUAUAAAUAGGCGUUUUCACUUCAAGAAAAGGCAUCCAACUUAGUUCACAACACUAAGCCUAAAGUUCACAAUUGUAAAAGCGAUAAUCUGUCAUAUCGGGGGGUUAUCGCACUUGAGUUGUAGUUAGGUUGGAGCACUGUACAAACAAUCUUGCCGCCAUUUUACUUUCCAGUCAAGUUU
This 287-nucleotide long non-coding RNA is filed under the name Lathyrus oleraceus (garden pea). Its description in RNAcentral is "Pisum sativum (pea) long non-coding RNA (PSAT_LNC026852)". The record is from RNAcentral. Lineage: Eukaryota; Viridiplantae; Streptophyta; Magnoliopsida; Fabales; Fabaceae.